This is a long non-coding RNA of Peromyscus californicus insignis, 3978 nucleotides long. RefSeq lists it as uncharacterized. The transcript has 4 exons. The record is from RefSeq and is a predicted model, not a curated record. Lineage: Eukaryota; Metazoa; Chordata; Mammalia; Rodentia; Cricetidae.
UUUGGUUUUUCGAGACAGGGUUUCUCUGUGUAGCUUUGCGCCUUUCCUGGAACUCACUUGGUAGCCCAGGCUGGCCUCGAACUCACAGAGAUCCGCCUGGCUCUGCCUCCCGAGUGCUGGGAUUAAAGGCGUGCGCCACCACCGCCCGGCUCUAUCUUUUAUCUUAAGGAAACAAAUUAGCCUUCAUUUACUUCAGCUGACUUCUAAAGUCACUAAUUUUGGAGAUCAUGAAGCAGAGCAAUGUCUCCUUAGUCCCUCACUAAGUCACCGUAGACAAUGCCUCCAACUUGGGUUUCGUAACACCAGCUGAGUGUGCCACCUCUCCAGGCUCAGCUUUUUGCUAAAAGCACUGGCUCUGCUUGGAUCUGCAGAGGUCUGGUGAGCCGCUAAAACAAGAUGAAAUGCUUGACAUCUCUGACUCUGCACAUUGUCUGUCUCCUUUGCCCCCUUAAGCUUUGGGUCAGAUUUCUGUUCAACUUUAAACUCUUGAUAUUAACCAUUUGAGAACCGCUUCACGUGAAACUGUAAUACAAAGUCGAUUUCUCUUAAAUUUACCUCAUGUAAGAGUGACUAAGAUAAUAGGCCACUGGCUUAGCUUCUAGCAGUCUCUGGAAUCCUGUCUUUUUUUCCUUAUGCCCUGCUCCUUCCUCUCCUCCUUAAACCCUUCAGAUACCCGAGGUGCUCUUUAUUCUCUGGUUUUCCAGAUGAAUCUUUUUUCUUGCCCCAACAACUUGCCCCUAAGUCAUUCCCCUUUUGGGAUGGUAGAAACAAAGGUAGGUGGGCCUCCCGGCUUUUAGCUCACAGUUAAUGCUGUGUAUCUGUUUCCUCUGGGUUAAGCAUGAUAACAGAUGUCUUAAACCAUAGCAACUGUGACCACUAGUAGACGACCCUUACCAAACCAGGUCUAUAAACAUUCCCUCAUGCGAGGAUUGGAGAGGCUCACCAAGGUUAUAUAAGAGGUGGGACUCUUUGGUGGUGUGACUGCCUCUGAGCCAUCCAGGCUCCUGUAGAUAACACCAAUGAGCAUGUUGUUUUACCAGGCUGGACUGGAUAGAAUCUACAAAAGCCCUCACUGUCUGAGGCGAAUAGAAAUAAACAUUGCUUUAUGUUUCUUGAGAAAAAAAAAAAUCUUGUUGACAGCUAGCCAGUCCUAGGAUUCCCAGGUCAGUCCCAGCAGCCUACGGGGCCGUUUGUUGCUCUAGAGAACCUUCCCUAGACCCCCUGACCUGGCAUUGACUAUUUUUGUGCCUGAUGGUUGGACCAAAGAAAAGGAUGGUCCGUGAGGUUAUAGAUUUGGAAUUCAAGUAGAGUAAAUUUCCUUGAGAUGUGUGCUCAGAACUCUCCUCUGAGUUUUUUGAGGUGGUUCAAUGGGUAAAGGGGCGUGCAGAGCAAGGCUGGUAACCUGAGAAUGGUUCCUGGAUCCCAGCCCGUGUGAUGACUUCAUCUGGGGACUACUCCAUGUGUGUAACUUCACUUGGGAACCAGUCCACAUGUGUAACUUCACUUGGGGACCAGUCCACAUGUGUAACUUCACUUGGAGACCAACCCAUGUGUGUGACUUCACUUGGGGACCACCCCAUGUGUGUGACUUCACCUGGGGACCAUACUAUGUGUGUGACUUUAUCUGGGGACCACCUCAUGUGUGUGACUUCACCUGGGGACCAUACCAUGUGUGUGACUUUAUCUGGGGACCACCUCAUGUGUGUGACUUCACCUGGGGACCAUACCAUGUAUGUGACUUUAUCUGGGGACCACCUCAUGUGUGUGGCUUCACAUGGGGACCAUACCAUGUAUGUGACUUUAUCUGGGGACUACUUCAUGUGUGUGACUUCACAUGGGAACCAGCCCAUGUGUGUGACUUCACCUGGGGACCAUACCAUGUGUGUGACUUCACCUGGGGACCACCCCAUGUGUGUGACUUCACUUUUGGUUAUCAGAUUGGGAAGCAUGCCAUCAGCCUCCAAGGAAAAGCCCACUGAGGCAAGUUUUGAGAUUAACUAUGGGCAUGAACCUAUGAAAAGGAAAAAGAUGGUUGUCUGUGGUAACACUACCUACCCCAAAUAUUCUUUAGGACUGGGGGUGGGGGGAGGGAAUGUUCUGAAAAUGGAUCUUGAAGAUAGCAUUGGGCAGAACGCAAUUCAAACUUGCCAAUGUAAACUGCCUCUGGAAUUCCUAGACAUUUCUUUGGUGGAUCUGUAGCUACUCCAUUCUUGGGUUAAAAAAAAUUAUUUUGCACAUUUACUGAGCUCAUGACAACAACUAUCCAAUCAGUGGUGUCUACCCCUGUGCCAAGUAGACUCAUUCACCUUCCUCUGGGGUUACAGCAGCUUUCGUCAACUUGACACAGACCUACACACUCCUGGGAAGAGGGAAUCCCACUGAGGAAUUGCCUCCAUCAGAUUGGCCUGUGGGCAAAUAAACCCUCUCCUGCCCAAGUUGAUUUUGGUCAUGGUGGUCAUCACAGCAACAGAGAUAGAAUAUCUGGUGGUGAGCUUAAUCUGGGUGAUGCUGAAGGCAACCAAGUCCUUGGCUGGAGUUGCAAUAUCGGAUCCCAGGACCUGUGAGCUGGUGAGGACGCCAGCUGAGCUGUCUGAGGAGGAGCUGCUGUCUGAGGACAGGUGUUCAGCUUCUGUGGAGAUGAUUCCUGUUAGCUUAGCACCUGCCUAGGGCCUUGUUUAAGGAUAAACUUGAGGCCUUCCAGCGUUGACAGGUUCAACAGAAGCAGGCGUUUGAAAGGAUGCAAGGCCGGUUAAGGUGUUGUGAAAAUAGGAGUCUGAUGAAAGGAACGUGGUGGCCUAGGACAUCUCAAGGGCCCAGCCACAGCAGGAGGAGAAAGACCAGCCACAUGGCUUCAGGCUCAGCAGAAAUGCCUCAGCGAUCAAGAAGGCCCAGCUUCAACAGCCACCCACUUGAGAGAGCUCGCCAGGUGUCCGCACACAGAGGAGGAGCCAGGUGACACCUGGUAAUUGGCAAAGAGGUGGCACCAUGGCCAAGUGGCACAGGUAUUCCAGCGGCUUAGCUUACCUAAACAGAGGUUAUUUUUAUAUCUGUGACUCCAAGCUCAGGAAGAAUCGGAAAUGCCCAAGUGGCCGAGGUGCCAUGGACCUCAGAGAGUGUCUGACCUUCCCAUUUUACAGACAAGGACACUGAGGCCUGGGAAGACAAGGGACACUUGGGGUUCACACAGCUUAACAUGAAGACUGAGGUGAUAGAGCUGGUCCCCCAGCUCCCUGUCCAGCGCUAUCUCAGUCAAAAUGAGGGGAAUAGUAAGAGCGGUCCUAUCAACCACAGCCGUGAGUGGGCAUCUCUGUUCCCUGGCAAAGUUGGCAGAGGCUUCAGCCUGGCAGAGCUCUUGCCGUUCUAACACAACCACGAAGGGCCGAGGGAAAGUCACUUCAAGGUUAAGGGAUAAAGAGUUUUUCCCUUAGCUCAUAGUUUAAAAAUGCAAAGAAUUGACUCUGUUGGACAUUCGGAAAAUGACUAACUAGAUUUGCAACUGGUUAUAUCUUUGGCCCAAGAAGAUUCCAACCAAUCUCUGAAUGCCACAUUUAAUCUCUGAUCCACUUUAAGAGGGAUGGUGGGUACCCACAACAGAAAACAGCCACUCCUAACCCAACCUGUUAGCUUCCGCUGGUGAGAAGACCCACCCUAAAUCUGGGCCACAUCUUCUGGUAGCAGCUCACAUAAAAGGCCAUGGAAGAAGGGUGCUUUUGCUUUUUUGUCUGCUUGCCCUCACUUCUGCUGGCAAGCUCAUCUAUCCUGCUGCUGGGGCGUUCCUUCGAUGGUAUCAGAGUCCACUUCUUUCUGGUUCCAACACAGAGUGAAGACCAGCUGAGGCAUCCAGCCUCGUGGAUGGAACAAACUACCAUAUUCCUGACCUUUCCAUCAGGAGACAGUCCGUGUUGGACUAGCCAGACCACAGCCUGUGAGUCAUUCUAAUAAAUCCCCUUUUAAUAUACACAAAUUCUAUCUGUUCUG